Long non-coding RNA from Pundamilia nyererei, 257 nucleotides. RefSeq lists it as uncharacterized. The record is from RefSeq and is a predicted model, not a curated record. Lineage: Eukaryota; Metazoa; Chordata; Actinopteri; Cichliformes; Cichlidae. The transcript has 2 exons.
GCGUCUUGUGCACACACGCACAGUGUUCUCAUGGGGACAUGCGGCCAGCAGAGCCAGCCACGGCCUCCUGUCAGACUGUCAAACAGAAGAGUCGACUCUCCAGAGAAAAGGAGGCGCGAAGUCUUCCAGUGUCCAUCUGUGGCAGUCAAGAUGGACGCCGACAACCAGUCUGAGCGGGCUCAGUCGGCCAUCUUGUUUUCAGCGUGGGUGCAGAGGGACUGUGUGCUGCUUAAAAAGCAAAAAAAAAAAAAAAAAAG